This 901-nucleotide ribosomal RNA is filed under the name Colletotrichum trichellum. Its description in RNAcentral is "LSU rRNA". It matches the Rfam family "Eukaryotic large subunit ribosomal RNA", at positions 36 to 968 of the family's 3401-position model. The record is from RNAcentral. Lineage: Eukaryota; Fungi; Ascomycota; Sordariomycetes; Glomerellales; Glomerellaceae.
AAGCAUAUCAAUAAGCGGAGGAAAAGAAACCAACAGGGAUUGCCCCAGUAACGGCGAGUGAAGCGGCAACAGCUCAAAUUUGAAAUCUGGCCCCAGGCCCGAGUUGUAAUUUGCAGAGGAUGCUUUUGGCGCGGUGCCUUCCGAGUUCCCUGGAACGGGACGCCAUAGAGGGUGAGAGCCCCGUACGGUUGGACACCAAGCCUUUGUAAAGCUCCUUCGACGAGUCGAGUAGUUUGGGAAUGCUGCUCAAAAUGGGAGGUAUAUUUCUUCUAAAGCUAAAUAUUGGCCAGAGACCGAUAGCGCACAAGUAGAGUGAUCGAAAGAUGAAAAGCACUUUGAAAAGAGGGUUAAACAGCACGUGAAAUUGUUGAAAGGGAAGCGCUUGUGACCAGACUUGCGCCCGGUGAAUCACCCAGCUCUCGCGGCUGGGGCACUUUGCCGGCACAGGCCAGCAUCAGCUCGCUGUCGGGGACAAAAGCUUCGGGAACGUAGCUCUCUUCGGGGAGUGUUAUAGCCCGUUGCAUAAUACCCUUCGGUGGGCUGAGGUACGCGCUCCGCAAGGAUGCUGGCGUAAUGGUCAUCAGCGACCCGUCUUGAAACACGGACCAAGGAGUCAACCUUAUGUGCGAGUGUUUGGGUGUCAAACCCCUACGCGUAAUGAAAGUGAACGCAGGUGAGAGCUUCGGCGCAUCAUCGACCGAUCCUGAUGUUCUCGGAUGGAUUUGAGUAAGAGCAUAUAGGGUUGGACCCGAAAGAAGGUGAACUAUGCGUGUAUAGGGUGAAGCCAGAGGAAACUCUGGUGGAGGCUCGCAGCGGUUCUGACGUGCAAAUCGAUCGUCAAAUAUGCGCAUGGGGGCGAAAGACUAAUCGAACCUUCUAGUAGCUGGUUUCCGCCGAAGUU